This 303-nucleotide long non-coding RNA is filed under the name Brassica rapa (field mustard). Its description in RNAcentral is "long non-coding RNA (BRAP_LNC008445)". The record is from RNAcentral. Lineage: Eukaryota; Viridiplantae; Streptophyta; Magnoliopsida; Brassicales; Brassicaceae.
GAAAGUCGAGGAGAAAUCCGACUAGGGCUGAGGAGAAUCCAGCCAGACUGAAGAGAAAUCCAGUCUCUGGUGGUAAAGCUCCUUGCAAACCAAAAUUUCUUAAAUCUGUCUAUCUAUUUCUUUGGGUUUUUGGGAUUUUUACUUCUCUGGCUUUGAGUUUGUUUGUCUGAUCAUUGAACUCUUGGAAUCACUGAGAAAACACUUGAGAAAUCAUUGAGAGAAACACUUGAGAGAAACACUAAGUGAGGCUUCGGCUAUAUCUAUUGUGUACUUACUUUUCUUGUUGAAGUCUUAUCAGGAAAC